Molecule: ribosomal RNA, 293 nt
Filed under: uncultured Desulfobulbus sp.
Lineage: Bacteria; Pseudomonadati; Thermodesulfobacteriota; Desulfobulbia; Desulfobulbales; Desulfobulbaceae
Description: partial 16S ribosomal RNA
Rfam family: Bacterial small subunit ribosomal RNA
Source: RNAcentral
AACGAGCGCAACCCUUGCCUUUAGUUGUCCAGCAGUUCGGCUGGGCACUCUAAAGGGACUGCCGGUGUUAAACCGGAGGAAGGUGGGGAGUGACGUCAAGUCCUCAUGGCCUUUAUGACCAGGGCUACACACGUACUACAAUGGCCGAUACAAAGGGCAGCGACACUGCGAGGUGAAGCCAAUCCCGUAAAAUCGGUCUCAGUCCGGAUUGGAGUCUGCAACUCGACUCCAUGAAGUUGGAAUCGCUAGUAAUCGUGGAUCAGCAUGCCACGGUGAAUACGUUCCCGGGCCUU